GAUGGAUGUUUUAUCUAACGGAGGUCUGGAGUGGUUGUAUGUGUUUUCCGAGAAAUGUGGUUGUGGCGGCAUGCGGCCUCGAGAGCGGGCCGAGCCACGUGUGAUGUUGCCUCGGAGGUGCCGAUGCAAUGGGACAUACAUUGUAUUAGUAAUCAAAACUCCAGGCAGAAACUGCCUAGCAACGGCGUUUGGAACUUUCUCGAUGCUUCCAACGAGUGUGCCUAGCAACGGCGUUUGGAACCUUCUCGAUGCCUCCAAACGGGUAUAGAAAACAAAAUGCAAUCGUACAGGGAGAAAAAUCUCCACGAGGCUGGCAUUCUUGCGAUUGCCUUGGAGAGUGAUACAUCGAGCAUUUUCGACGAUCGCAUUUGCGUCUAAGUUAGUUUCGCUUAGUAAGGAGUUAUCCCGGUGACCGUGGAUUCGUUUGAACUCAAACAUUGCUAAUAGUAUUAUUUAAUUUAAUUAUUCGUAGAUCGUAUUAUUCAUUAGGCUUAGUGUUUGUUAGACUUAUUAUUAGUCGUACUUAUUAUUUGUUAAGCUUAGUGAUAGACCUGUAUAUACGUGUAAAUAAAAUCUCGGCUUUGUGAAACGAUGGCUAGUCCACAUGAAGAGUCGUCGCGCGCCCAAAAUUCGAAUCGUGAUCCGACAUAUAUAUAUAUAUAUAUAUAUAUAUAUAUAUAUAUAUAUAUAUAUAUAUAUAUAUAUAUAUAUAUAUAUUACAUUUGUAGUUGCGCAUAGAUUUUAUUAAAGAAAAGUGUUAACAAUGUGUUUUCAUGAUUUAUUUCUCGCGCCUGACUUCCAUUAAUCCUUAAUAUUCCUGUAGCCGUGACGCCUGUAAAUCUAACAUGGCUGCUCAUAAAUGUCAUCAGCAAAGUUAUAGUGACGGGUCUUUAAUUUUGUUUAAUAUCGAAGUAAUUUUCCGUCUGCCGCUCGUUUUUCCUUAUUCUACCGCAAUUAGAACAUUUAUUUAUUAAUAUUGUUUUAAAGUGACAAUAGUAUUAUUCGUGUGAAUAUACGUAUAUAUAUAUAUAUAUAUAUAUAUGUUUAUGUUGUGUAUCAUUUCAAUAUGGCUAAUGUUUUGUAAUUCUUCGAUUGCGUUAUUUAUUGUUUUGAGUAGUUUAUUUUAUAGAGUGUUCGAUAAUAUAAAACAUACGCACACACACAUAUGUAUAUAUAUAUAUACGUAUUCAUAUGCAUAUUUCUUCUGGCAGUGUAGUAUUCAUACGAAGUGAAAUGUCAAUUAUUUAUUUUAUAUUAACUUCAUUUAAUAAGAUAGAACACGCACACGCACACGUAUAUAUGUAUAUAUUUCUGGCAAUGUGAUUUUCAUUUAGAUUCUUUAGCGAUGUAAUGUUGUGUAUUUCAGGUUAUGUGUCAAUCAUUUGAUUUCAUAUAUACAUAUAUAUCUUGUAUUGUGACAACAUAGUAUGGAAGGUUUUGUUUCUAGAUUAUUGUGUGUUUAAUGUGUGUUUACAUAUUUGUGUUUGAUGAUAGAAUUUCUGUACGCAAUUCCUCAAGUCGUUGCGCUGUUAAUUAUUUUGAGCGUUUGGCCUAUCGACAGAUUGUCGCUUAGUCCCAAGUGUUGCGUUGUGUGUUCUAUUUCUUUUGUAGAUUAUUAGUAGUAGUUUUAGUUGAGAAAAUAGAUUAUUUAUAUGUUUAUAUAGAAACAUGCAUGUUUCGUAAUGUAGUUCUUAUUUUAUAACUCUUUACCGGAAUGUAGGCUAGUUUUAAGUAUGUAUCUUAGAUUACUGUUUGAUAGAAUGCGCACACAUAUAUAUAUGUUUCUGACAAUGUAACCUUUAUUUCUUUAAUAAUACAAUAUUGUAUGUUUUAUGUAUUCGUUAGACUAUUAGUUUUUGACUUCAUAUAUACUUAUAUUUCAUAAAUUGAUAAUAUUGUAUUUGUUGCAUAGUAUCGGAAGUAUUGUCUCUAAUAUUUACUAGUUUAUUACAUGUCUGGCAUAUAUGUUUAUACUUAUAUGUAACUCUCCAAGUUGAUUGAUUAAAAUAUAUUUAUAUAUACAUGUAUUCCUGGCGUUUCAAUUAUUUCCCCUUUUGUAGUUAUUCUUAUUUCCUGGCUUAUUUGUUUGGUUCGUAACUCGUUCAAUCCAUUAGCUGGUUCUAUUUAUUUUAUUUUAUACUGGUUGGAUUUAUAUUAUAUUGAACCACAAGUUUUCAAAUUGCAAGUCGGCUAUUGGUAGGUUUAUUUAGAGUUGUGUGUAUGUGUAUUUUGUUUAUUGGUUGGAUCUAUUAGUCGCCCUCGUUUUGUUAAUCCUUCCUUUAGUUUCGUAGCGCCGUGUGUUCGUUUGUGCAUUCAAAUCAUUAUUCGCGCGUUUUGUAUAGAAUGAUUUUCUUGUUCUUGUUACGGCGCGUGCGGAGCGCGGGCGGUUUUACGUACUUGUUAUCAGUGAAAAUAAAUAUUAUGAAUACUACUUGGGUUAUAAUUAUAUACAUAUAUGCGUACGUAUUGG
Molecule: long non-coding RNA, 2470 nt
Organism: Bombus huntii
Lineage: Eukaryota; Metazoa; Arthropoda; Insecta; Hymenoptera; Apidae
Exons: 2
Source: RefSeq, a predicted model, not a curated record